Molecule: ribosomal RNA, 500 nt
Filed under: Chromobacterium violaceum
Lineage: Bacteria; Pseudomonadati; Pseudomonadota; Betaproteobacteria; Neisseriales; Chromobacteriaceae
Description: bacterial SSU rRNA
Rfam family: Bacterial small subunit ribosomal RNA
Source: RNAcentral
GGNAAAGCGGGGGAUCGAAAGACCUCGCGUUAUACGAGCAGCCGACGUCUGAUUAGCUAGUUGGUGAGGUAAGAGCUCACCAAGGCGACGAUCAGUAGCGGGUCUGAGAGGAUGAUCCGCCACACUGGGACUGAGACACGGCCCAGACUCCUACGGGAGGCAGCAGUGGGGAAUUUUGGACAAUGGGGGCAACCCUGAUCCAGCCAUGCCGCGUGUCUGAAGAAGGCCUUCGGGUUGUAAAGGACUUUUGUCAGGGAGGAAAUCCCGCUGGUUAAUACCCGGCGGGGAUGACAGUACCUGAAGAAUAAGCACCGGCUAACUACGUGCCAGCAGCCGCGGUAAUACGUAGGGUGCGAGCGUUAAUCGGAAUUACUGGGCGUAAAGCGUGCGCAGGCGGUUGUGCAAGUCUGAUGUGAAAGCCCCGGGCUUAACCUGGGAACGGCAUUGGAGACUGCACAGCUAGAGUGCGUCAGAGGGGGGUAGAAUUCCACGUGUAGCAG